CGGGACGGGGGAGUAAUGCUUGGGAAUCUGGCUUAUGGAGGGGGAUAACUACGGGAAACUGUAGCUAAUACCGCGUAGUAUCGAGAGAUUAAAGUGUGGGACCUUCGGGCCACAUGCCAUAGGAUGAGCCCAAGUGGGAUUAGGUAGUUGGUGAGGUAAAGGCUCACCAAGCCGACGAUCUCUAGCUGGUCUGAGAGGAUGACCGGCCACACUGGGACUGAGACACGGCCCAG
Molecule: ribosomal RNA, 233 nt
Filed under: uncultured bacterium
Lineage: Bacteria
Description: partial 16S ribosomal RNA
Rfam family: Bacterial small subunit ribosomal RNA
Source: RNAcentral